This 679-nucleotide unclassified non-coding RNA is filed under the name Hevea brasiliensis (rubber tree). Lineage: Eukaryota; Viridiplantae; Streptophyta; Magnoliopsida; Malpighiales; Euphorbiaceae. The record is from RNAcentral.
AAAAAAUCCAUUGACAUGGUCUCAAACUAGAAAUAUGCCCAUUACAAAUAGGGUUAUAAUGGAGAGCUUGAGGAUGGCUAGCAUCAUAUCUUUUACUUUUAGAGAGGCUAUACAAGAUGUCGAAUAUAAAGGAUUCUUAAUUCCAAAAGGAUGGAAGGUGCUUCCUUUGUUUCGAAACAUUCAUCACAAUCCAGACUACUUCACUAAUCCACAUGUAUUUAACCCUUCAAGAUUUGAGGUUCGACCAAAACCAAAUACUUUCAUGCCCUUUGGAAAUGGUGUACAUGCAUGUCCAGGAAAUGAAGUUGCCAAGCUAGAGAUUCUCAUUCUAAUCCAUCAUCUGGUCACCAAGUUCAGAUGGGAAGUUGUAGGGUCUGCAAAUGGGGUUCAAUAUGAUCCAUUUCCUGUGCCUCAACAAGGUCUCCAAGCUAAGUUUUGGAAAGAAUCUACCAGCUGCACAGCUGGUCAUGAUAUAUAAUAACAUCCUUCAAACAUUUUCAUGUUCAUCUAGCUAGGGUUAAAAGAUCCUUCAAUUCUCUGCCUUCUUUUUCCUCCUCCAUUGUGUCAUUUUCCUACCUAAAAUGUCUCUCACUUUUGACAUAUUUGACUGGGAAAGAGAUGAGAAUUCAAGGGUUUUAAUGUUUCAUGUCACGGGUUUGGCUUCACCUUUGAAUUAAUG